Molecule: unclassified non-coding RNA, 302 nt
Filed under: fungal sp.
Lineage: Eukaryota; Fungi
Description: partial internal transcribed spacer region
Rfam family: Eukaryotic small subunit ribosomal RNA (bases 1-45)
Source: RNAcentral
AGUCGUAACAAGGUAUCCGUAGGUGAACCUGCGGAUGGAUCAUUAACAAAGGUGUUUUUUAAGUUAUGUGAACAGUUUUGGUGGUUGUGGGAGUGGUGGAUGGUUGUGGGGGGAGGUGGAAGUGGUUGUGGGGGGAGGUUGGAGUGGUUAGAUCAAAUCAAACCACACCAAACACACAACACCACACCAAUCACACCCCACUCUCCUCACCCACAUCACCACUCCCAACUUUAAUGUACAAACUGAUGUCUGCCUAGUUUUCUAAACUAAAACAACUUUUAGCAACGGAUCUCUUGGCUCUC